GCCAGGUUGGCUUUGAAAUCGCUCGGCGGCGUUUGCCUCCUGCCGAGGCUUGAGCUGCCUGAUAAGCACACCCACCGGCUUAAGGAAGGUGCCUGAAAGACUCGAAGGGCUGGUCUCCAUGAAGGGAGAUGCUGGCAGCAGCUUGCAGAUGGUCUCUGGAUGAGGGUGUCUGUAUCCCCUCCUAUGCCUGAAGUCACUGGCUUUGUGUUGAGAUCUUCGAAUGGGCCAGGACAGAGACACGUACUCCAUAGGAACUGGUAGAUGUCCCAAACCAGAGCUAAGCUGCUCCCUGCUCCGGAGAAAUGGAUGUGAACGACUUCCCAGCACACCACUGGCUGGGAGAGCUUUAGUAUCUCCGUGAAUCACCUGAUCCAGGCAACCACACUAUGACCAGUUUCAGCCGUUAGUACUUGGUGGCUCAUAGAGUGAAAAUCCAGCCUAAACCGUUUAGUCGCUGGGAAGCUCAGGCACUGUGCAGUUGCUUGGUGAUGACACAUACACAGGUAACAUGGCGAUUGUAAAUUUGCGUCACUCUCAAGUUGUCAGCAUAAGGAGAGAAAACCACACGCAGCUUGGAACUUGGGGUGUUACACAACGCACUUCAUUGUGCAUGCCAGGCUCAGUAUUCAAGGAUCUCUUACAGUGAGGCAUGGCUAACAAAAGAGGAAAUAUUUUUUCAAAACAACAGAAGUAAAGGACAGCAAGAGCGUGCUAGAAUUUACAAUGCUCUCUCUUGUCACAAGUUGCCAGUCGGGAUAAUUCUGUCUUUCUGCGAAUGUUUCUGUACAUAUGUAUCUGAGUGUUUCCUGGUUGCCAUUGACAUCCCAGACUAAUGUGUCUCUACUUCCUAGACUGUUUUCCAGGUUGCCUGAUUCAGUAGCUCUCCCACUCCUGACUAUAACUACUUUUACUUAGACAUUAUGCCAAUUUCAUUUUCAUAAAAUUAUACCUGGAAGAAUGUAGACAACCCUUGGCUUCAUAUCCUUUGGGUUGUAGGUACCAAAUAUUUAUUGAUUUCGAAUCAAAAAAUUUAGCCUCUCUGUUUGUUGUGGCCAUUUUAUAGCUUCUUGGGUAAGUUUAAGGAAAUUGGAAAGUUAGGAUGACUAUAUAUUUAGUUGCAGGGACAUUUUAUAUUUCAUGUAAUGUAAGAAUAGAAAACAGUACAAGCCUAUAUUAUCCCGAGGAAAUGGCAGAGGGGAAGAGCGGGCCUUCAUUUGCUGAUGGAAACACUCGUAUUGUCUGAAUUUAUUAUAAUAAAUAUAAAUAUUAAUUCAAAA
Molecule: non-coding RNA, 1277 nt
Organism: Peromyscus maniculatus bairdii (prairie deer mouse)
Lineage: Eukaryota; Metazoa; Chordata; Mammalia; Rodentia; Cricetidae
Source: RefSeq, a predicted model, not a curated record